CCUACGGGAGGCUGCAGUGGGGAAUAUUGGACAAUGGGGGGAACCCUGAUCCAGCCAUGCCGCGUGUGUGAAGAAGGCCCUCGGGUUGUAAAGCACUUUCAGUGAGGAAGAACGCCUGGUGGUUAAUACCCAUCAGGAAAGACAUCACUCACAGAAGAAGCACCGGCUAACUCCGUGCCAGCAGCCGCGGUAAUACGGAGGGUGUGAGCGUUAAUCGGAAUUACUGGGCGUAAAGCGCGCGUAGGUGGCUUGAUAAGCCGGUUGUGAAAGCCCCGGGCUCAACCUGGGAACGGCAUCCGGAACUGUCAAGCUAGAGUGCAGGAGAGGAAGGUAGAAUUCCCGGUGUAGCGGUGAAAUGCGUAGAGAUCGGGAGGAAUACCAGUGGCGAAGGCGGCCUUCUGGACUGACACUGACACUGAGGUGCGAAAGCGUGGGUAGCAAACAGGAUUAGAUACCCUAGUAGUC
This 465-nucleotide ribosomal RNA is filed under the name Vreelandella stevensii. RNAcentral describes it as "partial 16S ribosomal RNA". It matches the Rfam family "Bacterial small subunit ribosomal RNA", at positions 338 to 795 of the family's 1533-position model. The record is from RNAcentral. Lineage: Bacteria; Pseudomonadati; Pseudomonadota; Gammaproteobacteria; Oceanospirillales; Halomonadaceae.